This 727-nucleotide ribosomal RNA is filed under the name Bacillus cereus. RNAcentral's name for it is "bacterial SSU rRNA". It matches the Rfam family "Bacterial small subunit ribosomal RNA", at positions 56 to 755 of the family's 1533-position model. Lineage: Bacteria; Bacillati; Bacillota; Bacilli; Caryophanales; Bacillaceae. The record is from RNAcentral.
UGCAAGUCGUAGCGAAUGGAUUAAGAGCUUGCUCUUAUGAAGUUAGCGGCGGACGGCCUGAGUAACACGUGGGUAACCUGCCCAUAAGACUGGGAUAACUCCGGGAAACCGGGGCUAAUACCGGAUAACAUUUUGAACCGCAUGGUUCGAAAUUGAAAGGCGGCUUCGGCUGUCACUUAUGGAUGGACCCGCGUCGCAUUAGCUAGUUGGUGAGGUAACGGCUCACCAAGGCAACGAUGCGUAGCCGACCUGAGAGGGUGAUCGGCCACACUGGGACUGAGACACGGCCCAGACUCCUACGGGAGGCAGCAGUAGGGAAUCUUCCGCAAUGGACGAAAGUCUGACGGAGCAACGCCGCGUGAGUGAUGAAGGCUUUCGGGUCGUAAAACUCUGUUGUUAGGGAAGAACAAGUGCUAGUUGAAUAAGCUGGCACCUUGACGGUACCUAACCAGAAAGCCACGGCUAACUACGUGCCAGCAGCCGCGGUAAUACGUAGGUGGCAAGCGUUAUCCGGAAUUAUUGGGCGUAAAGCGCGCGCAGGUGGUUUCUUAAGUCUGAUGUGAAAGCCCACGGCUCAACCGUGGAGGGUCAUUGGAAACUGGGAGACUUGAGUGCAGAAGAGGAAAGUGGAAUUCCAUGUGUAGCGGUGAAAUGCGUAGAGAUAUGGAGGGAACACCCCGUGGCGAAGGCGACUUUCUUGGUCUUGUAACCUGACACCUGACGCGCG